CCUACGGGAGGCUGCAGUGAGGAAUAUUGGUCAAUGGGCGAGAGCCUGAACCAGUCAAGUCGCGUGAAUGAUGACGGCCCUCCGGGUUGUAAACUUCUUUUGUCAGGGAGCAAUUGGGUCCACGCGUGGGCUUAGCGAGAGUACCUGACGAAAAAGCAUCGGCUAACUCCGUGCCAGCCGCCGCGGUAAUACCGAGGAUGCGGGCGUUAUCCGGAUUUAUUGGCUUAAAAGUGUGCGUAGGCGGAAAAUCAAGUCAGCGAGAAAAAUUCGGGGCUAAACCGCGUCGUGCCGUUGAAACUGGUGUUCUUGAGUGGGCGAGAGGUAUGCGGAAUGCGUGGUGUAGCGGUGAAAUGCAUAGAUA
RNAcentral lists this ribosomal RNA (361 nucleotides) under uncultured bacterium. Its description in RNAcentral is "partial 16S ribosomal RNA". It matches the Rfam family "Bacterial small subunit ribosomal RNA", at positions 338 to 696 of the family's 1533-position model. The record is from RNAcentral.